RNAcentral lists this long non-coding RNA (810 nucleotides) under Fragaria vesca (wild strawberry). RNAcentral's name for it is "long non-coding RNA (FVES_LNC000719)". Lineage: Eukaryota; Viridiplantae; Streptophyta; Magnoliopsida; Rosales; Rosaceae. The record is from RNAcentral.
UGUAAUUGAUGGAAGUAAAGAGGAUAGCUUAAGAUAUGCUUAUUCAAAAGAAACAGUAGCAAAUCACUGAACUUGAUAGCGGACUAUAAGGAUAUAUUGAGAUUAAUUACCAGGAGGCAAGUGAGCUCAUUAUCUAGUAGUGGUGAGGAGGAGGAGGUGAGGAGUAGAUGUAAGCCGGUGGAGUGUGAACGGGAGGAGUAGGAGGCUUGUAAGGCUUCGUUGGUGGUGGUGGUGGUGGUGGUGGUGACUUGUAGUGGUAUGGAAUGUGGGGUGGAGAGUAGACUGGAGGAGGAGGAGAAGGCGGUGGUGGAGACUUGUAGUGGUAAGGCGGUGACUUGGGAGGGUAGUGGGGGUGCUUAGGUGGUGAGUACACUGGUGGUGUUGGGGAUGGUGGUGGCUUAGGAGGGUAAUGGGGGUGCUUGGGUGGUGAGUACUUGGGUGGUGUUGGAGAGGGUGGUGACUUGGGAGGGUAGUGAGGAUGCUUGGGUGGUGAGUACACUGGUGGUGUUGGUGAGGGUGGUGACUUGGGAGGGUAAUGAGGGUGCUUGGGUGGUGAGUAGACCGGUGUCUUAGGUGGUGACUUGGGGGGGUAGUAGGGGUGGUGAGGUGGUGAGUAGACUGGCGUUGGUGGUGGAGGAGACUUGUAGUGGUAUGGCUUCUUUGGUGGUGGUGGUGAGUGAUGUGGGUGGUAGGGCUUCUUGUGUGGUGGCGGGGGUGGUGGAGACUUGUAGUGGUAAGGCUUCUUCGGUGGUGGUGGAGGUGGUGGAGACUUGUAGUGGUAUGGCUUCUUUGGUGGUGGUGGUGAGUGGU